RNAcentral lists this ribosomal RNA (748 nucleotides) under uncultured archaeon. Its description in RNAcentral is "bacterial SSU rRNA". It matches the Rfam family "Archaeal small subunit ribosomal RNA", at positions 19 to 761 of the family's 1478-position model. The record is from RNAcentral.
GGAGGCUACUGCUAUUGGGGUUCGAUUAAGCCAUGCAAGUUGAACGAUUCUUCGGAAUCGUGGCGAACGGCUCAGUAACACGUGGAUAACCUACCCUUAGGACCGGUAUAACCCUGGGAAACUGGGGACAACCCCGGAUAGGUGAUUUUUUCUGUAAUGAUUUUUCAUUUAAAUGCUCCGGCGCCUGAGGAUGGGUCUGCGGCAGAUUAGGUAGUUGGUAGGGUAAUGGCCUACCAAGCCGGUGAUCUGUACGGGUUGUGAGAGCAAGAGCCCGGAGAUGGAACCUGAGACAAGGUUCCAGGCCCUACGGGGCGCAGCAGGCGCGAAACCUCCGCAAUGCGAGAAAUCGCGACGGGGGGAGGGGGACCCCAAGUGCCACUCUUAACGGGGUGGCUUUUCUUGAGUGUAAAAAGCUUUUGGAAUAAGGGCUGGGCAAGACCGGUGCCAGCCGCCGCGGUAACACCGGCAGCUCUAGUGGUAGCCAUUUUUAUUGGGCCUAAAGCGUUCGUAGCCGGUUUGAUAAGUCUCUGGUGAAAUCCUGUAGCUUAACUGUGGGAAUUGCUGGAGAUACUAUUAGACUUGAGGUCGGGAGAGGUUAGCGGUACUCCCAGGGUAGGGGUGAAAUCCUGUAGUCCUGGGAGGACCACCUGUGGCGAAGGCGGCUAACUGGAACGAACCUGACGGUGAGGGACGAAAGCCAGGGGCGCGAACCGGAUUAGAUACCCGGGUAGUCCUGGCCGUAAACGAU